AUUGAACGCUAGCGGGAUGCCUUACACAUGCAAGUCGAACGGCAGCGCGGACUUCGGUCUGGCGGCGAGUGGCGAACGGGUGAGUAAUGUAUCGGAACGUGCCCAGUAGCGGGGGAUAACUACUCGAAAGAGUAGCUAAUACCGCAUACGCCCUACGGGGGAAAGGGGGGGAUCGCAAGACCUCUCACUAUUGGAGCGGCCGAUAUCGGAUUAGCUAGUUGGUGAGGUAAAGGCUCACCAAGGCGACGAUCCGUAGCUGGUUUGAGAGGACGACUGGCCACACUGGGACUUAGACACGGCCCAGAAUCCUACGGGAGGCAGCAGUGGGGAAUUUUGGACAAUGGGGGCAACCCUGAUCCAGCCAUUCCGCGUGUGCGAUGAAGGCCUUCGGGUUGUAAAGCACUUUUGGCAGGAAAGAAAUCGCACGGAUUAAUACUCUGUGUGGAUGACGGUACCUGCAGAAUAAGCACCGGCUAACUACGUGCCAGCCGCCGCCGUAA
This 500-nucleotide ribosomal RNA is filed under the name uncultured bacterium. Its description in RNAcentral is "partial 16S ribosomal RNA". It matches the Rfam family "Bacterial small subunit ribosomal RNA", at positions 30 to 523 of the family's 1533-position model. The record is from RNAcentral.